AGUGAACGCUGGCGGUAGGCCUAACACAUGCAAGUCGAACGGCAGCACAAAGGAGCUUGCUCCUUGGGUGGCGAGUGGCGGACUGGUGAGGAAUACAUCGGAAUCUACUCUGUCGUGGGGGAUAACGUAGGGAAACUUACGCUAAUACCGCAUACGACCUACGGGCGAAAGCAGGGGAUCUUCGGACCUUGCGCGAUUGAAUGAGCCGAUGUCGGAUUAGCUAGUUGGCGGGGUAAAGGCCCACCAAGGCGACGAUCCGUAGCUGGUCUGAGAGGAUGAUCAGCCACACUGGAACUGAGACACGGUCCAGACUCCUACGGGAGGCAGCAGUGGGGAAUAUUGGACAAUGGGCGCAAGCCUGAUCCAGCCAUACCGCGUGGGUGAAGAAGGCCUUCGGGUUGUAAAGCCCUUUUGUUGGGAAAGAAAUCCAUCUGGUUAAUACCCGGGUGGGAUGACGGUACCCAAAGAAUAAGCACCGGCUAACUUCGUGCCAGCCGCCGCGGUAA
Molecule: ribosomal RNA, 506 nt
Filed under: uncultured bacterium
Lineage: Bacteria
Description: partial 16S ribosomal RNA
Rfam family: Bacterial small subunit ribosomal RNA
Source: RNAcentral